GGGAGAGGGUGACAUGAGAGGAAAAUCAGGGGCUUGGGUAGGCCCCGAGCAGAUGUGACUUUUACUGGGAUUUCCCCGGGACUCGGGCCUCUAGGCACCAAACACCGUGGUCCCUAGUUCUUUCUCAGAAGAUUUGCAUGUUAUUUGCUUGGUAUCCCUCAACUUUGUAUUUUUCAUUGUUUUAAACCCAAACCCUGCAGCCUUUUUCCCCCUGUCUUUGUUCAUGUUUCAGUGCCAUCAUUUCUUCUUUCUUUGAGCUAUAUUAGGCAGAAAAAUAUGUCUAGGGAGGAAGCCAGAAGACACGAGAAAGACCCUCAGAGGGACCCUAACUUGGAGUCUCCUUCACUGGAGACCCCAUUCUCUGUCCAGCGCCAAAGGACACAUUCCCAACUCUGCUCCCAACUGAUUGUGUGACCUUGAACAAGUCACUCACCCCUCUGGGUAUCUGCUGCCUCAUAUGUGAAAUGAAUGCAUCACUUUAGGUCACAGUUACCCCACCUGGGAUGCACAGGCAGCCCAGCUGUGUUCUGCAUGACCGAAUCGGACACCUCUCACUUCCUCUGAGAACGGAACUUGGUGUUUGGAUGACGUGCGGGCAAGUCGUUUGUGCAAAAUAGCACAUCUCUAUCGUCGGUCUCCCACCCCAACCCCAGGCCUAAAGAAAGACAAGAAACAGAAAAAAAGCAACACCUGAGAGGAAUCCGGCUUCCAACGAGUACAGACAUUCUUAGCCCUGAGCGUUGCCUGCAGGACUGGAGAGUGACUGUGAUCACUCCUGAUUGCUGCUCAAAUCUCAGGUCAAUGUCUUCCAGGCUGUGUGACCCAGGCCAGAAGGUCACUGAAAUAACACUGGGCUUAACUGACCCAGAAAGGAGCACUUCAUCCUAGCCUUCAUCUUCUUCAUCUUCUCGGGACAACACGAGGCAUACCAACUUGGGUGGCACAGGUGGCGUCCAGCACCCAGCAGGUGCCUCCUCCAGGGCAACAAGAAGAGCUGGCCCUGUUGGAGGGUGAGAUGAUAAAGCACCUGCCCCCUUGACAGUCCUUCCUGCGCACCCCUUCUCCCACCCUGUGUGCAGGGAGGACACCACAGUCUAGGCUUUGAGACAUUCGAGGGGUGGCCCCACCCUCUAAGUUGGAGGGAAGCCUGGUCUCCAUGUGGUUUGCAGGCGUCGCAGUGCCCCAACACACCUGGGACAGAUGUGUGAUCUCUGAACCUGCCCAUUUCCUUCCUGCUUGUAGGCUCAGUGGCUGGACUGUGGCCCACACUGAUGAACGAAUCCUCCAGGAGUGAGACUCCUUUGGAGUUAUUGGCUGGUGAAAAUAAGCAAAGGACUGCAAAGAUCCACGGGUCAUGUGAGGCAGUCUGGUCUGCGGCAGCUGACAGCAGAGACUCCAGGAGGCCGAGGAAGGCACCCGCUCUCCUCCCACGGGUCUGGUGGGUCUGAUUUGCCUGAAGCCAGUGGAAGAUAAACAGGCAGCGGGUAUGGUGUGUGAAGCCAGAGGCCCACAGCCUGAGAACUGGGGCAUCACUGAUGCUCUCUGGGUCUCCCCUUCCUGUCUGGGGAGGACUUUAAUACCCACCUCAGAGUGAUGUUUGGAUGACUUAGCACAGUGCCUGGCACGCAGUGGGUGCUCAAGGCAUUUUCAUGCCCCCCACCCUCCCCUUUCCCCUCCCUUACCCUUCCUCUGUUUGCACUGCCUCCAGGAUGAGGCUGUCACCUCAGGGACUCUUCAGCACUUGAGGCCUCGCUCUCCCUCCCCACCUUCCUGAGCAGUCACAGAGUGAUGCAGAUGCUCCUGCCCUUGCAUCUGGUUUCCCUGCUUCUUCCCCAAGCACGCUGCUGUGCCAGCUCUCUUGUCUCUGGUCUGGAUUCCAGCAGCCACUGCUCGCCUGCCCUAGGGUGGUCCUGUGCUCUCAGGCAAGAUGCUCUUCUACCAGCUCAUGGUCUUUGUCUCCUUUGGGUACAUGUCUGCCCUCCUCCCUCCUACUUGGAUCUCACCUGGGGUCCUUCUCAGCUCAGGACUACAGACCUUUCAAGGGAUCAGGUCCAUGUGACAGCAGCCACCAAGAGUCCCCAGCUGAAGGAUCCAGCCUCUGCCCACCUGCCCAUCAAACAUGGAGGCUCCAGGAAUUGUCAUCACAGGAAAGGCCAAGAGUCAGAAAGAUCAGCUGAGCCACCCCCCACCCCAGGCAGCUUCCUUAUAAGGAAGAAGAAGAGGAGCAGGAGGACGAAGUCAUGGCUUCUAGAGGCUCAUCCCUAAGAUGUCCUAGUGGAAGAAGCCAGAGUUCUGUCUCCAGGGGCUUUGUGCAAGACCUGGGGUGGGGUGGGGUCACUACCAGCCCCUAUCUUUGGCCCCUCCCUCUCACCCUAACCCUCUCUGCCUCAAGGUGGCUAGGAGCACAGUCUGUAAGUCUCGUGACACUCCAUAUUAUCAUUAGGUUGAGUUUGCAACAUAAGCCUCAGUUUUGCUGUUCUGGAAUGCCUUCUGAAUAUGCCUGAGUAAUGUCUUCCUCUGGUUUUGAUGUUUAUUCCAAGGAGGAAUGUCACUGGAAUGCAUCUUCUACUGACACCCAGGCUACUGGUCCUCAACCUUGAGGCUGACCAAGCUGGCUUACCCAUUGGAUAAUGUGGUUUGCCAGGUAUGGGCCAGGUUGAGCAUGUCUCCAAGACAAGCAGCACAGUUAGGGACACAGUCUGUGGCCAUAAUGAUUACAAUAGAAAUGAACAAGUAGCUAGUUUCUUAAAGCAUGUCCCAUAUACUCAGCUCUGAGCCAAUGGAAACCCAUGCAGGAUCUGAUCUCAUCAUCUUAGGCAAACUGAUUAGUUACCAAUAUCCCCAUUUUACGG
Long non-coding RNA from Bos taurus (domestic cattle), 2852 nucleotides. NCBI's taxonomy places the organism in Eukaryota, Metazoa, Chordata, Mammalia, Artiodactyla, Bovidae. The record is from Ensembl.